UUUAAAGGUAUUUUUUUCUCAGCACAUGAAUGGACAUAAAAUGUCUCCGAUUAUCGGAAAGAUUCUGCUUCAACAUCACCAAAUUCAGAGAUACGUGGUUUUUACUGGAUUGGAAAUGUAUUUUAAAAAUGUAAUGUUUAAAAGUAACUAGUAACUAAAGCUGUCAGAUAAAUGUUGAGGAGUAAAGAGUACAAUACAAUAGCACAAAAUGGAAAUACUCAAGUUUAAAUAACUUAAAUUUGUACACAAAUACAGUACUUGAAUGUACGUAGUUACAUUCUAUAACAACAAUCCCAGUUGGAGUCACAUUUUUGCUCACCUGAUGAAAUCCAACAGUGUUUUUUCUUUUAGCUCUGGUUUAGUCUCAACAAACUUUCGUGUUAAAGUAUAUUCACUAUGAGAUAUUCAAGUCUCUUCACCAGCUGAUCCAUACAGAUACCAACAGCACACCAGCACUUCUGUUUUUGUGCGUACAUGCGAGUACAACACAGGCAAUGCCCUCUGGCUGAGACGCUAUGAAAAAGUGCAUCAUUAUCUCCACGCUUAAAUGAUUAUGGCGUCUCCCUCCUCUGUGGUACAGCUGGAUGUUCUUCCCGCCUUCCAUUGUGGCACUUCGGCGCAGCCAUUAACACUUCUGACGAGCCAGAUGACACGUUGUAUUAACAUGUGGUGUGUCCUCUUCAUAAGCUGCCUCCUUCAGGCCAUAUGCUACAUUUCUUCUCUCCACUAGUGAGCGCUGUGUAAUCUGCAACAGAUCUGGACAAACACCGAGCGUAGACUGCUGGAUGCUGGGCUGAUGCUUCUCCUCAAGCUCACUGACGGGCUGACACACAGUCGGAUCUUCAUUCACUCCUGCAGGACUUUCUUCCCUCCCCCCUUCACCCAGUCCGACGAGGGAGGGCAGAUGUAUAGCCAACAGGACACAGCCACAACUUUGCCUCGAGCGCUGACCUCCUCCGAUGACAACCAUAUGCUCCGCUAUUGAAUAUGUAUGGCUGCGGGAAGAGGCUCGA
Molecule: long non-coding RNA, 1013 nt
Organism: Acanthopagrus latus (yellowfin seabream)
Lineage: Eukaryota; Metazoa; Chordata; Actinopteri; Spariformes; Sparidae
Exons: 3
Source: RefSeq, a predicted model, not a curated record